RNAcentral lists this ribosomal RNA (468 nucleotides) under uncultured bacterium. RNAcentral describes it as "partial 16S ribosomal RNA". It matches the Rfam family "Bacterial small subunit ribosomal RNA", at positions 28 to 507 of the family's 1533-position model. The record is from RNAcentral.
GACGAACGCUGGCGGCGUGCUUAACACAUGCAAGUCGAACGGAAAGGCCCUGCUUUUGUGGGGUGCUCGAGUGGCGAACGGGUGAGUAACACGUGAGGAACCUGCCCUUGACUUUGGGAUAACUUCAGGAAACUGGGGCUAAUACCGGAUAGGAGCUCCUGCUGCAUGGUGGGGGUUGGAAAGUUUCGGCGGUUGGGGAUGGACUCGCGGCUUAUCAGCUUGUUGGGGGGGUAGUGGCUUACCAAGGCUUUGACGGGUAGCCGGCAUGAGAGGGUGACCGGCCACCUUGGGCCUGCGAUACGGCGCAGACUCCUACGGGAGGCAGCAGUGGGGAAUAUUGCGCAAUGGGCGGAAGCCUGAUGCAGCAACGCCGCGUGCGGAAUGCCGGCCUUCGGGUUGUAAACCGCUUUCGCAUGUGACGAAGCGUUAGUGACGGUAAUGGGUAAAGAAGCACCGGCUAACUACGUG